RNAcentral lists this ribosomal RNA (510 nucleotides) under uncultured bacterium. Its description in RNAcentral is "partial 16S ribosomal RNA". It matches the Rfam family "Bacterial small subunit ribosomal RNA", at positions 28 to 507 of the family's 1533-position model. The record is from RNAcentral.
GACGAACGCUGGCGGCGUGCUUAACACAUGCAAGUCGAACGAAGAGCGAUGGAAGCUUGCUUCUAUCAAUCUUAGUGGCGAACGGGUGAGUAACGCGUAAUCAACCUGCCCUUCAGAGGGGGACAACAGUUGGAAACGACUGCUAAUACCGCAUACGAUCUAACCUCGGCACCGAGGAUGGAUGAAAGGUGGCCUCUAUUUAUAAGCUAUCACUGAAGGAGGGGAUUGCGUCUGAUUAGCUAGUUGGAGGGGUAACGGCCCACCAAGGCGAUGAUCAGUAGCCGGUCUGAGAGGAUGAACGGCCACAUUGGGACUGAGACACGGCCCAGACUCCUACGGGAGGCAGCAGUGGGGAAUCUUCCGCAAUGGACGAAAGUCUGACGGAGCAACGCCGCGUGAGUGAUGACGGCCUUCGGGUUGUAAAGCUCUGUUAAUCGGGACGAAAGGCCUUCUUGCGAAUAGUUAGAAGGAUUGACGGUACCGGAAUAGAAAGCCACGGCUAACUACGUG